GCCCGUUUGGCUUAGUGGUACAGCGUCUCACUCGUAGAGUUCUAGGACAUGAGAAGAUCCUCGGUUCGAUUCCGAGAAUGGGCA
This 84-nucleotide transfer RNA is filed under the name Lachnellula hyalina. It matches the Rfam family "tRNA". From Rfam's summary of the family: Transfer RNA (tRNA) molecules are approximately 80 nucleotides in length. Their secondary structure includes four short double-helical elements and three loops (D, anti-codon, and T loops). The record is from Rfam by way of RNAcentral. Lineage: Eukaryota; Fungi; Ascomycota; Leotiomycetes; Helotiales; Lachnaceae.